RNAcentral lists this ribosomal RNA (433 nucleotides) under uncultured bacterium. RNAcentral's name for it is "partial 16S ribosomal RNA". It matches the Rfam family "Bacterial small subunit ribosomal RNA", at positions 29 to 507 of the family's 1533-position model. The record is from RNAcentral.
AGCGAACGCUGGCGGCAGGCCUAACACAUGCAAGUCGAACGAACCUUUCGGGGUUAGUGGCGGACGGGUGAGUAACACGUGGGAACGUGCCUUUAGGUUCGGAAUAACUCAGGGAAACUUGUGCUAAUACCGAAUGUGCCCUUCGGGGGAAAGAUUAAUCGCCUUUAGAGCGGCCCGCGUCUGAUUAGCUAGUUGGUUGAGGUAAUGGCUCACCAAGGCGACGAUCAGUAGCUGGUCUGAGAGGAUGAUCAGCCACAUUGGGACUGAGACACGGCCCAAACUCCUACGGGAGGCAGCAGUGGGGAAUCUUGCGCAAUGGGCGAAAGCCUGACGCAGCCAUGCCGCGUAAUGAUGAAGGUCUUAGGAUUGUAAAAUUCUUUCACCGGGGACGAUAAUGACGGUACCCGGAGAAGAAGCCCCGGCUAACUUCGUG